UACGUAGGGGGCAAGCGUUGUCCGGAUUUAUUGGGCGUAAAGAGCUCGUAGGCGGUCUGUCGCGUCGGAUGUGAAAACCCAGGGCUCAACCCUGGGCCUGCAUUCGAUACGGGCAGACUAGAGUAUGGCAGGGGAGACUGGAAUUCCUGGUGUAGCGGUGAAAUGCGCAGAUAUCAGGAGGAACACCGGUGGCGAAGGCGGGUCUCUGGGCCAAAACUGACGCUGAGGAGCGAAAGCGUGGGGAGCGAACAGG
RNAcentral lists this ribosomal RNA (253 nucleotides) under uncultured bacterium. Its description in RNAcentral is "partial 16S ribosomal RNA". It matches the Rfam family "Bacterial small subunit ribosomal RNA", at positions 524 to 776 of the family's 1533-position model. The record is from RNAcentral.